GCUGGAUGUGACCAGAAGCUGACUGACGAAUUACGCAGUGCACUCUCUCUCAUCUUCCCUGACUCAUUUCUUUCCUGCGCGAGCGUCACCGUGCCGAGCCGCGUAAGCCAUAAAUCAACCGUAUAGGAGACAAACCCUUUUUUCCCCGGACCCUCUCGCUCAUUACAGAGGAUCAGAUAAGCGCACUCUGGCGAAGACCGAGGCAAAUUGUAUUAGUCUGGCCGACGGAAGGUGAAGACGUAGCAGAAUAUACAUGCUGGUGCGCGGGACGGAAUCGAGUACAAAAUGAAGCCAUCCGUUCUAGAAAGUUCCAGAAGCACAGCAAUGAGCCUGUGCUCAUCUGAAGUGGCAGACAGAGUGAGUCAGGGAUGGAGAGGAAUACAGAAGAGAGAAUACAUCAUCCAUGUCGGACAAAGCCCAUCUGAAUAAAUGCUGCAACACAAACCAUGAUACGCCAUUUUAACUGUACCAUUAUGUACUGAAUGUUCAAUCAAAAAAGACAAACCAUACAGUAACUUCACGCAUACCCAUUGUCAAAUGUUGUCUAUACUACGUCCAAAUGAUGAAUUUAACAGAAACAGAUACAAAAUAUAGCAUAUAUAUAGCAUGUUCCUGUUUUGAAUUGUAGAGGGAACAAAGUUUCAUGAAUGAUUGCUACAGCAUUGUGUGCACUGCAAUUAUGUCUCAAUGUGCAAAUUAGUAAAAAUAUUGUAUUUACAGGAAAGGCACUUAUAGAAAAUAUAUGGAAGGUAACUUUCGGGAGAAUAUCCAAAUUAUAGCAACACAAUUAUAUUUCAUAAUGUCUAAACUCUAGUUGAAAUACAUAUAAUAAUUGGACUCAAAAUUGACAUUAAUCUGUUAAAUGCAUCUUCAUUAGAAAUUGCUUGCAUUCUGGUAUAUGUUGUUCUUUUUCUGAAAAUAAAGAUAAAUAAAACGUUGUUUUCUCUGCACAUAU
Molecule: long non-coding RNA, 955 nt
Organism: Anguilla anguilla (European eel)
Lineage: Eukaryota; Metazoa; Chordata; Actinopteri; Anguilliformes; Anguillidae
Exons: 2
Source: RefSeq, a predicted model, not a curated record